RNAcentral lists this ribosomal RNA (486 nucleotides) under uncultured bacterium. RNAcentral describes it as "bacterial SSU rRNA". It matches the Rfam family "Bacterial small subunit ribosomal RNA", at positions 28 to 531 of the family's 1533-position model. The record is from RNAcentral.
GACGAACGCUGGCGGCGUGCUUAACACAUGCAAGUUGAACGGGCGUACACGGAAGCUUGCUGAAGUGUAUGUUAGUAGCGGACGGGUGAGUAAUGCAUGAGGAUCUGCCCGUGGGAGGGGGACAACAGCUGGAAACGGCUGCUAAUACCCCGUAUGCCGAGAGGUGAGAGGUAUGGAGACAUACCGCCCAUGGAGGGACUCAUGUCCUAUCAGCUGGUUGGUGAGGUAACGGCUCACCAAGGCGACGACGGGUAGCCGGCCUGAGAGGGCGACCGGCCACACUGGAACUGAGAGACGGUCCAGACUCCUACGGGAGGCAGCAGUGGGGAAUAUUGGGCAAUGGGGGCAACCCUGACCCAGCGACGCCGCGUGAGGGAAGAAGGCCUUAGGGUCGUAAACCGCUUUUGUACGGGAAGAAGAGAUGACGGUACCGUGCGAAUAAGUCCCGGCUAACUACGUGCCAGCAGCCGCGUAAUGUAUCGUACG